CCUACGGGAGGCAGCAGUGAGGAAUAUUGGUCAAUGGACGAGAGUCUGAACCAGCCAAGUAGCGUGAAGGAUGACUGCCCUAUGGGUUGUAAACUUCUUUUAUAUGGGAAUAAAACGUUCCACGUGUGGGAUUUUGUAUGUACCAUAUGAAUAAGGAUCGGCUAACUCCGUGCCAGCAGCCGCGGUAAUACGGAGGAUCCGAGCGUUAUCCAGAUUUAUUGGGUUUAAAGGGAGCGUAGGUGGAUUGUUAAGUCAGUUGUGAAAGUUUGCGGCUCAACCGUAAAAUUGCAGUUGAAACUGGCAGUCUUGAGUACAGUAGAGGUGGGCGGAAUUCGUGGUGUAGCGGUGAAAUGCUUAGAUAUCACGAAGAACUCCGAUUGCGAAGGCAGUUCACUGGACUGCAACUGACACUGAGGCUCGAAAGUGUGGGUAUCAAACAGGAUUAGAUACCAGGGUAGUC
RNAcentral lists this ribosomal RNA (460 nucleotides) under uncultured bacterium. Its description in RNAcentral is "partial 16S ribosomal RNA". It matches the Rfam family "Bacterial small subunit ribosomal RNA", at positions 338 to 795 of the family's 1533-position model. The record is from RNAcentral.